RNAcentral lists this ribosomal RNA (497 nucleotides) under uncultured bacterium. RNAcentral's name for it is "partial 16S ribosomal RNA". It matches the Rfam family "Bacterial small subunit ribosomal RNA", at positions 28 to 507 of the family's 1533-position model. The record is from RNAcentral.
GAUGAACGCUGGCGGCGUGCCUAACACAUGCAAGUCGAGCGAACAGACGAGGAGCUUGCUCCUCUGACGUUAGCGGCGGACGGGUGAGUAACACGUGGAUAACCUACCUAUAAGACUGGGAUAACUUCGGGAAACCGGAGCUAAUACCGGAUAAUAUAUUGAACCGCAUGGUUCAAUAGUGAAAGACGGUUUUGCUGUCACUUAUAGAUGGAUCCGCGCCGCAUUAGCUAGUUGGUAAGGUAACGGCUUACCAAGGCAACGAUGCGUAGCCGACCUGAGAGGGUGAUCGGCCACACUGGAACUGAGACACGGUCCAGACUCCUACGGGAGGCAGCAGUAGGGAAUCUUCCGCAGUGGGCGAAAGCCUGACGGAGCAACGCCGCGUGAGUGAUGAAGGUCUUCGGAGCGUAAAGCUCUGUUAUUGGGGAAGAACAGAUGUGUAAGUAACUGUGCACGGCUUGACGGUACCUAAUCAGAAAGCCACGGCUAACUACGUG